AGUGAACGCUGGCGGUAGGCCUAACACAUGCAAGUCGAACGGCAGCACAGUAAGAGCUUGUUCUUACGGGUGGCGAGUGGCGGACGGGUGAGGAAUACAUCGGAAUCUACUUUUUCGUGGGGGAUAACGUAGGGAAACUUACGCUAAUACCGCAUACGACCUACGGGUGAAGGCAGGGGAUCUUCGGACCUUGCGCGAUUGAAUGAGCCGAUGUCGGAUUAGCUAGUUGGCGGGGUAAAGGCCCACCAAGGCGACGAUCCGUAGCUGGUCUGAGAGGAUGAUCAGCCACACUGGAACUGAGACACGGUCCAGACUCCUACGGGAGGCAGCAGUGGGGAAUAUUGGACAAUGGGCGCAAGCCUGAUCCAGCCAUACCGCGUGGGUGAAGAAGGCCUUCGGGUUGUAAAGCCCUUUUGUUGGGAAAGAAAAGCAGCAGGUUAAUACCCCGCUGUUCUGACGGUACCCAAAGAAUAAGCACCGGCUAACUUCGUG
Molecule: ribosomal RNA, 492 nt
Filed under: uncultured bacterium
Lineage: Bacteria
Description: partial 16S ribosomal RNA
Rfam family: Bacterial small subunit ribosomal RNA
Source: RNAcentral